Molecule: ribosomal RNA, 493 nt
Filed under: uncultured bacterium
Lineage: Bacteria
Description: partial 16S ribosomal RNA
Rfam family: Bacterial small subunit ribosomal RNA
Source: RNAcentral
AUUGAACGCUGGCGGCAUGCUUUACACAUGCAGGUCGAACGGUAACAGGUUAAGCUGACGAGUGGCGAACGGGUGAGUAAUGCAUCGGAACGUGCCCGAUCGUGGGGGAUAACGCAGCGAAAGCUGCGCUAAUACCGCAUACGAUCUGAGGAUGAAAGCGGGGGACCGUAAGGCCUCGCGCGAUCGGAGCGGCGGCUGUCAGAUUAGGUAGUUGGUGGGGUAAAGGCCCACCAAGCCGACGAGCUGUAGCUGGUCUGAGAGGACGACCAGCCACACUGGGACUGAGACACGGCCCAGACUCCUACGGGAGGCAGCAGUGGGGAGUUUUGGACAAUGGGCGAAAGCCUGAUCCAGCAAUGCCGCGUGCAGGAAGAAGGCCUUCGGGUUGUAAACUGCUUUUGUACGGAGCGAAAAGGUCCUUUCUAAUACAAGGGGCUCAUGACGGUACCGUAAGAAUAAGCACCGGCUAACUACGUGCCAGCAGCCGCCGUAA